UUGAAAAAUAUCCACCACGCCUUCAUUUCUGCUCCUAAUUUUCCCCAAACCCUAAUUCUCUCUCUCAAAUCAUUUCUGCCUUCAUACAUUUUCCUCUAAAAGUUCACCAUAAUUAUUUUUCUCCAAGUCCCUUUCCCGCACCAUCUUCUUGUUGGUCUUCCCCUACGUUGUGUUCGUUGUCGAGGCGUCGAGGCGUUGUGGCUGCGUAGGUCGUGUUCGCUCUCAGAGUUCCUCGCAUCUGCGUAGGAAGUGUCUCCAUUAACGUCAGGGAGACUGUCUCACAACAGUGAACCUUUGAACGGUGGUGCUUCUUUAACUGGAACGAACAGUCCACCAAUCUCUCAUUCUAACGAGUUUGACGAUGUUGUCAAUAAAAAAAAUAUCCAGUUCAGAUUCAUUGGCUCAUGCUUUAGGAAUCCAAGAGCAUUAUGGACGCGUUCGCGAUCUACGUUUGGGUCCUUGCUUAUCUAAAGUCUUUGGAGUCAAAGCUCGUUCUCAUAGUGGAUCAUCUUCAGUUGCCCCUUCUAAUAAUGAAUUACAAACUCAGGUAUCUUCAUUGACAUCACAAGUCAAUGACAUGACAUCACAAGUCAAUGAAAUGAAGGAAAUGAUAGCAAUUAUGUUGCAAAUUUAUCAGGGUCAAUUACCUUCAAAGUUUGCCUCAUUUCAAUAAUCGGUAUCUAAUUAAGGAAGCGUGCCAAACAAUGAAUGUAAUGAAGAUGAAGAAAAUUAGACAUGUAUGAACAAUUAGUUAUGUCUGGAUUGAUAUGCAAUGUAUGAAGUUUUGAGGAAGCAAAUAUCACAUGUCAUCCUUUUAGUUGUGUAUGUAUUGAUAUGCUAGUAUCUUUAAGUGCUUUCCUAAAGCUGCCAAACAAGGGAGGGAUCAUCCUCAUUAGUCCCUGAGCUAGUCUCCAUGUAUAUUUCAUCUUUUGAAUCACUUUUCUUGUUAGUCUCUCUUAAAUAUAGUUCUAAUUUUAUUA
This is a long non-coding RNA of Vigna angularis (adzuki bean), 980 nucleotides long. RefSeq lists it as uncharacterized. The record is from RefSeq and is a predicted model, not a curated record. NCBI's taxonomy places the organism in Eukaryota, Viridiplantae, Streptophyta, Magnoliopsida, Fabales, Fabaceae. The transcript has 4 exons.